This 478-nucleotide ribosomal RNA is filed under the name uncultured bacterium. RNAcentral's name for it is "bacterial SSU rRNA". It matches the Rfam family "Bacterial small subunit ribosomal RNA", at positions 28 to 507 of the family's 1533-position model. The record is from RNAcentral. RNAcentral also lists the same sequence under 1 other name.
GAUGAACGCUAGCGGCAGGCCUAACACAUGCAAGUCGAGGGGUAGAACACUUCGGUGUUUGAGACCGGCGCACGGGUGCGUAACGCGUAUGCAAUCUACCUUAUACAGGGGAAUAGCCCAGAGAAAUUUGGAUUAAUGCCCCAUAGUGUUAUAGAAUCGCAUGGUUUUAUAACUAAAGUUCCAACGGUAUAAGAUGAGCAUGCGUCCCAUUAGUUAGUUGGUAAGGUAACGGCUUACCAAGACAAUGAUGGGUAGGGGUCCUGAGAGGGAGAUCCCCCACACUGGUACUGAGACACGGACCAGACUCCUACGGGAGGCAGCAGUGAGGAAUAUUGGUCAAUGGGCGCAAGCCUGAACCAGCCAUGCCGCGUGCAGGAAGACGGUCCUAUGGAUUGUAAACUGCUUUUAUACAGGAAGAAACCUCCCUACGUGUAGGGACUUGACGGUACUGUAGGAAUAAGGAUCGGCUAACUCCGUG